RNAcentral lists this unclassified non-coding RNA (262 nucleotides) under Hevea brasiliensis (rubber tree). Lineage: Eukaryota; Viridiplantae; Streptophyta; Magnoliopsida; Malpighiales; Euphorbiaceae. The record is from RNAcentral.
AUCCGAAUGGCGCCUUAAAGAAAAAUGGACAUACAUAAUUCAUGAGCUGCCACAGCAUAAUCCAUUUUAAAAGGUUACAGUGACUAUGCAUUGAACAAAAUAAGCUCGCAGGAAAUGAGUUUUAACAAAACCAUGCAUUCCCAUCCAUCCACUCUUACAAAGGAUCUUAAGUUUAAUGUAGUAGAAAGAGUGGAAUUGGUAAACAAAGAGGCACAGGCACGAACAUUGAAAUGAAAGCAAUUUCUUUCUUCACGGCCAAACA